GACGAACGCUGGCGGCGUGCCUAAUACAUGCAAGUCGAGCGAAGCUUUUUUGAUGGUUUUACUAGAAAAACUUAGCGGCGAACGUGGGAGCAACACGGAGAGUACCGCGCUCAUAGACUGCGACAACUAGGGGAAACGCUAUCUAAUACGGGAGAACAUAACUCCUCGCAUGUCAGAUAUUCAAGAGUUUGUUAUGCUAACAUUUUGAGAUGGCUUUGCGGUGCAUUAGCUAGUUGGUGGGGUAACGGCCCACCAAGGAGACGAGGCAUAGCCGACCUGAGAGGGUGAUCGGCCACACGGGGACUGAGAUGCGCCCCCGCCUCCUGAGGGAGGCAGCGGCAGGGCAUCUUCGGGAAUGGGCGGAGGCCUGUCGGAGGAACGCCGCGUGAGUGAAGCGGGGUUUCGGUUCGUGAAGCUCUGUUGUUAGGGAAGAAUAAAUUUGUAGUAACAAUAACGGAAAGUGACGGUACCUAACCAGAAAGCCACGGCUAACUACGUG
RNAcentral lists this ribosomal RNA (499 nucleotides) under uncultured bacterium. RNAcentral describes it as "partial 16S ribosomal RNA". It matches the Rfam family "Bacterial small subunit ribosomal RNA", at positions 28 to 507 of the family's 1533-position model. The record is from RNAcentral.